RNAcentral lists this long non-coding RNA (1209 nucleotides) under Medicago truncatula (barrel medic). RNAcentral's name for it is "long non-coding RNA (MTRU_LNC007646)". The record is from RNAcentral. Lineage: Eukaryota; Viridiplantae; Streptophyta; Magnoliopsida; Fabales; Fabaceae.
ACCCUAGAAAUGAAGAGAUUCUCCCCCUUACCUCGAUUUCUUCUGAAAUUUCCAGCUUGGCUUGAUCCCGUCACAACUAGGGUUUCUUCUCCUAUGCUCCUUUUUUCUUUCUUUUUUCACGUUCAACAAAAGUGACUUUUCUAACUUCUAAUGUUUCUAUUUAUACUUGGGUCAAUCACAUGUUAUAACUUUCUUCUCCUUUAUUCACUAUACUUUUACUCCUCCCCUCCGCCACUUAUUUAAAACUUAUAUUCUACACCUCCGACUUGUAUUAUAUUUACUUAAUUCUUCUCUUCAUCCUAUUAUCCCUCAUAAUGCAUCACUAAUCCACAUUAUAAUCAUAAUAAACACGACUCCACCUAUUUAACCUCACAAAAUUAAUUAAAUAGAAAUUUGGGGUGUUACAAUAUCAGGAUAUGCAUCUCGUAGUGGCAAAGCAGGAACAACAUUUGGCUUAGCAGGAGUAAUCUGAUCAAAUGACCUCUCUUUCAUGGUUGGUGUAGUAGAUUUCUCACUCAUAUGAGUCAUUUGGCUAAGAGUUUCAACUUCAUUCUCAGCGGUAGUGGAUAGCUGAGGCUGCAUAAAAUAGACAAAGGUUAGAAUGUAACUUAAUAUUAUUUCUGCAUUGAAUUAUGGCAUAUAACUAUCCUCUCUUGAUAAUAAAGCCAAUGUCAAUGUGAAAAUAUUACACUUACCAAGGACAUGGUAGUAUCAUCAGUUAAAGAGAAGUUAUCAGAAGACUUGUCAACAACCUCAGUGGAAUCAAUAGCCAAAGCAAGUACCUGGAAGGGUAGCGAUUACAAAUAUGGUGGAUAACAAAUUAACAUGGUAUUCCAAAAACAUUUGAAUAAUGUAUAUUGAUAAUUGAACACUUACCGGAGCAUUCGGAAACUUUGACUUUAUGAGUUCACAUAUAGCAUCUCCUUCCUUAAAGCUAACCACAGAGCUGGUUUUCCACCUUGGUUGCCAUUUCACCUUAAACACCAUAGAUUUUUGACCAAUGCUAUCAAUCAACAUGGGAUAUUCUAGGCGAUUAGUGAUCCCAGCCUGAAAUAUUGUCGUGUAGGUGUAACAAAUGUGGUCACAGUAAAAAUGUAAGUGGUCUAAAUAUGAAGUUACCUCAAUCAUGUUCAACCUAAGCUGAGCAGCAGAAAUUCCCAACAAUUAAGAGACCUCACGGUCCCACAUGACAAAAGUGCUUUUGGUGCC